This 371-nucleotide long non-coding RNA is filed under the name Rattus norvegicus (Norway rat). RNAcentral describes it as "long non-coding RNA NONRATT025140". Lineage: Eukaryota; Metazoa; Chordata; Mammalia; Rodentia; Muridae. The record is from RNAcentral.
GCCGCCCGCACCGGCAGCGAGGAGCCCCGCAGCGCCCGCCGCACCGGCCCCUCGGUCCCCGGGGGCCAGAGACUUUGGCUGCUAGAGCUCGGGGGCCUGACACCCCACAGGGCCUGCCCCAGAUCCCCGGGGAGCACACGGGAACACCCGAAUCCCCGGCAGCUCUCGGAGGUUGUAAAAUACACCCCCCGGUCCCCCUCCUCAGCCUGCCCUCUUCCCGAGGCCGCAGAGAAGCACCACCGCGGGAGAGAAACCUCCGGCAAGUCGAGGACAGUGGCCGUUGCAGCCCCCAGACCUCCUCCCCCGGUUACCUGUGAGGACUCCGACACGGAUUUGAUGGUCGUGGUUUGUGAGGAUCAUUCCCUCGGUCG